ACGCUCGACACCUACGGGGGCAGCAGUGGGGAAUAUUGCACAAUGGGGGAAACCCUGAUGCAGCGACGCCGCGUGGAGGAAGAAGGUCUUCGGAUUGUAAACUCCUGUUGUUGGGGAAAAAGAGGAUGGUACCCAACAAGGAAGUGACGGCUAACUACGUGCCAGCACGCCGGACGGUAAUCUGAGGCGGGCGUGGACGAAGGC
This 204-nucleotide ribosomal RNA is filed under the name uncultured bacterium. RNAcentral's name for it is "partial 16S ribosomal RNA". It matches the Rfam family "Bacterial small subunit ribosomal RNA", at positions 328 to 545 of the family's 1533-position model. The record is from RNAcentral.